RNAcentral lists this ribosomal RNA (659 nucleotides) under Saccharomyces cerevisiae (brewer's yeast). Its description in RNAcentral is "eukaryotic LSU rRNA". It matches the Rfam family "Eukaryotic large subunit ribosomal RNA", at positions 67 to 741 of the family's 3401-position model. The record is from RNAcentral. Lineage: Eukaryota; Fungi; Ascomycota; Saccharomycetes; Saccharomycetales; Saccharomycetaceae.
AACCGGGAUUGCCUUAGUAACGGCGAGUGAAGCGGCAAAAGCUCAAAUUUGAAAUCUGGUACCUUCGGUGCCCGAGUUGUAAUUUGGAGAGGGCAACUUUGGGGCCGUUCCUUGUCUAUGUUCCUUGGAACAGGACGUCAUAGAGGGUGAGAAUCCCGUGUGGCGAGGAGUGCGGUUCUUUGUAAAGUGCCUUCGAAGAGUCGAGUUGUUUGGGAAUGCAGCUCUAAGUGGGUGGUAAAUUCCAUCUAAAGCUAAAUAUUGGCGAGAGACCGAUAGCGAACAAGUACAGUGAUGGAAAGAUGAAAAGAACUUUGAAAAGAGAGUGAAAAAGUACGUGAAAUUGUUGAAAGGGAAGGGCAUUUGAUCAGACAUGGUGUUUUGUGCCCUCUGCUCCUUGUGGGUAGGGGAAUCUCGCAUUUCACUGGGCCAGCAUCAGUUUUGGUGGCAGGAUAAAUCCAUAGGAAUGUAGCUUGCCUCGGUAAGUAUUAUAGCCUGUGGGAAUACUGCCAGCUGGGACUGAGGACUGCGACGUAAGUCAAGGAUGCUGGCAUAAUGGUUAUAUGCCGCCCGUCUUGAAACACGGACCAAGGAGUCUAACGUCUAUGCGAGUGUUUGGGUGUAAAACCCAUACGCGUAAUGAAAGUGAACGUAGGUUGGGG